AUGUGCAGCAUCAGACUGAGACAGGCUCAAAAGCUAGUCCUGACUGCAGAGCCCCCUAAACCACAGUUGUCAAGCCACACCACAGUGCUUUGUGAUUCAGUCAUUUUGAGGGGUAAUUACAGUCUUCGUCUAAAACAUAAAACACCGCAACUGGCUGCUGUAUCUUGGACUUUAUGUUACUUCCUUUCGACAGGCAGAAGCACCUGUCUUGCAACAGGAGGCACUGUUUUUGCUGGAGGAACUCAGUCUCCCCGAAGGGGAAGUACCUUAAGACUGAAGGCCCCUUGGAUAUGUCAAAGCCCUUGUUUAUUUGCCAAUAAAUAAAAUGCUAUUUUCAAGAACUCCUUCUUAUAUCAACCUCUGUGAAUUAUAUCCUGGAGAAAAAAAAAGAGCUACAGCCCUCUGGGAACCUCCAUAAACCAGUAGUUCUCCAACUGUGUCGGAUCACCUGGAGGGUCUAUUAAAGCACAGUUGAUUGAGCUGCACACCCAGAGUUUCUGAUUUAGCAGUUUUGGAGGGGCACCUGAAGAUCUGUGUUUCUAACCAGCUCCUCAGAGAUGCUGCCGAUUGGGGGACCACAUUUAGGGAACCACUGGUCUAAACCAUCUGCUCCAGCUGCUUCAGUCUAAGGAGCUGCCAGUAGCCGAUUUUUUAAAAUCAUUUUUCACAUUCUUUCAGGUGGCCAUUGUUCUGAUCUUUCCUUCCAUCAAAGAAUUUUGGGAGCGGCUUGCUCCUCUGAAGCAGGAAUGCAAGUCAGGUUGCCCUCUCUGGCAUCGUUUUCCAUAUCAUCUUGCAGCCUACAUCAUUUCCGCUCUUAGAUAUGGAAAAGUCCCAAGCCUGCUUUUGCUGUCACAUCCCUCAUCUUUGGGCAUGCUGUUAGUUCUCUGGGCUAGACUUCCCUUGCCUGGUGGAUUCUGAAUUGUGUGUCAAAGUGGAACUCAUGCAUGGCCCCCUAUAGAGUCCUCCCUGAAUGAUCUAACCCAAGCAGAGAAAGUUUUCCUUAUCUGUAUUGAGUCUUACAGCUGCUAGUACAAACUUGUACCCUAGCCCUUGGCACAUUCUAAUGUAAGGAUCUAUUUGCAAGUUUCCUCUGCCUACUAGAAGGAGGUACUAAAGGCAGAGACUAGGAAUGACUCCACUCAAGGUUCCCUGAAGUACCAAGUAUUUUUGUAGGAUCUGCCAUGUGCCUAGACACACUAGUAAACAAUAACAGAUGUUGUCCUGCUCUCAUGAAGAUUUCCACCUAGUGGGUGAGACAACUGAUCACUCAAAAAAUGUCAAAAUGCGCUCCUGGUAAAUGUCAUGAAGGAGAGUGAUUUACUCA
This 1324-nucleotide long non-coding RNA is filed under the name Felis catus (domestic cat). Its description in RNAcentral is "lncRNA (ENSFCAG00000041274.2)". The record is from RNAcentral. Lineage: Eukaryota; Metazoa; Chordata; Mammalia; Carnivora; Felidae.